This is a long non-coding RNA of Peromyscus eremicus (cactus mouse), 1190 nucleotides long. RefSeq lists it as uncharacterized. The record is from RefSeq and is a predicted model, not a curated record. The transcript has 2 exons. Lineage: Eukaryota; Metazoa; Chordata; Mammalia; Rodentia; Cricetidae.
GCCGGCGCCUCGGAGCGACCGUUGGGCGGCGGGGCGGGGCCUUGUGGGGUGGGGCCUGGCUCUGGCCGCGGGGGAAGCUUCUCGGCGCUCUUCGCGCUGGCCUGCCAGCCCUGCCAUCGUAGGCCUGCAGAGCGCCUGGAGGCCCUGCCCUGGCCCGGGAGCAUUGUGAGCUAGGACGGGACUGCUAGGAGACAGACGCAGCUCCGCAGAGACCCGAGUCCGAAAGAGGCCAGGCAGAAAAAGUGAACGACUCUAAGACACCAGCCUAUCAGACCACACAGCCUCCAUAAGCUCGGCCUCCGACCACCGAUAGUAGAGCUUUUUGAUCCACUCCCUCCCCAACCAAAAAAUGCUACAGAACUAAAUAUUAAUGACUAAGACAGGCUAGAGAGAUGCCUCAGAGGGGAAAGGUGCUUUGCCUCCAAGUUUGAUGACCUGAGGUGGAAGAAAAGAACCAACUCCCUCAAGUUGACUCCAGCUGCCACACAAGUACAAUGGUGUGCGCGCACACACACACAGUUUUUUAAACGCACAUUUGUACAGUGAGAAGAAGCAGAAACUGUAAGAUAGGAAAACUGAUACUGAGUCUGAAGAAGAGAGUAAGUGACUAGCAAGUGGAGUGAUGUAGGCACCAGAGGAGUUGCAGAAGGAAGAGAGAAAAGAGACCACCUGAAGAAGAGCUGGAAACAAGACCUAACAUCCAGUAAGCUAAAGAACUCUUAGCAAGAUGACCCCAAAGCUACCUAGUCACAUGUCAUCAAACUGUCAAAAGAGUCUUGGGAGCAGCAAGAAAUAAGUAGCUUUGUCAUGUACAAGGAGUCCUCAAAUACUUUUCUCAUCAGAACUUCUGGAGGUCAAAAGGCAGUGGUCUGAGGACUGAAAAUUUUAAAGCUCUAGGGAACUGUCAAUCAAGAACCCCAUGUUGAGAAAGUAUCCUUCAAAGAUGAGGGAGAAAUGAAGAUACUGUGAGGUAAAAGCUGAGGUAGGGCUUGGCAGUAUAGUACUCAGCAUGCAUGAGACCCUGGGUUCAAUACCCACCUACAUAACCACUCGUAUCACCCCCAGACCUGCCAUCUAGCAAUACUAGCUGAAGUGACUGCAGGUUGAAAUGAGAGGACACUGGACUGCAAGUUGAAGCCAUGUAGGGAAAUAAAGAUCUGAAUAAAGAUAAAUAUGUAACUAUAAACAAA